AUGGGAACGGCAUGGGGGGACCACCCCAUCAUCCAGUCACCUCCACCUGGUCUCUCCCGUGCAUGGGAACGGCAUGGGGGGACCACCUCAUCAUCCAGUCACCUCCACCUGGUCACUCCCGUGCAUGGGAACGGCAUGGGGGGGACCACCCCAUCAUCCAGUCACCUCUACCUGGUCUCUCCUGUGACACAUGAGGAUUAUGGGGAUUAUGGGGCUUACAAUUCAAGAUGAGACACAGCUGCUUCUUCCUUUGUUCUUCCUUUCCACACUUCUGGGGUUAAUAAGCGCAGUGCUUUGUUAUAUAGCUUGAUAAAACAGUCAAAGGCCUAAGCUAUUGUCAAAAACAGUAUAAUGCCACUAGCUUUUGAGUGUGUAUGUCAAAAUCUGUUUUUCUGUAUCUAACUUUUCUUACUUCCUUUUGCAAAGGGAACCUGCUUAGCCUGAUAGUGAUAGUGAUAGUGUCAUACUUACGGGAAGCCAGCUCCCUCGACUUUUUUGUUUUUAUCCCUCUAUUUUUCUAGGGCUGGAGGGCAUUGACACAUUCAUUUAUUUAUUUCUCAGAAAAGGCAACAGAGGUUCAGGGAGGCUAAUGACUUGCCCAAGUUCACAUUGCUAACCUACAACAGGGCUGAAGGGGAUCAUGUCUACGGUGGUCCAUUUCCAAGACAAAGUGCCUUGAAUCGGCUUAGGUCUGCAAAAUACAGAAGAAACAGGAUAUCCCAGGCCCCUGCUCAGACAGCCGAUGCCUGCUUAUCGGGAUCCCCCUUAGUUGCCCUCACCUGAACCAAAGAAGUUUAGUCUAAGAUAAAAGUUUACCAGUCUGCAAAAUAGCUGGCUUUGUCUGUUCUUAUCAGCCUGCCAGCUACGUAGGUCAUAAGUCAAAUACUUAAAGAGCCCCAGGGCUAACUAGGAUUGCAAUGCACUGUGGGCUGCAACAAAAUGCAGCAAGACAACCCUAAAAAGACACCUACAGCCCCUGCCCAACAACCAAUAGGUGACAUCCGGGAAGACUGUGACCCCAUAGUGCUCAGCCUAUGAGGAACUGGGGGAGGGACCUGCACACUAAGGGAUAAAGUGCUUGUUAAAACCAUGCUGGAGGCUGGUGCAGUGGCUCACGCCUGUAAUCCCAGCACUUUAGGAGGCCGACGUGAGGCAGGCGGAUCACUUGGGGUCAGGAGUUUGACACCAGCCUGGCCAUCCUGGUAAAACCCCAUCUCUAUUGAAAACACGAAAAUUAGCCAGGCGUGGUGGUGAGUGCCUGUGAUCCCAGCUACUCAGGAGGCUGAGGCAGGAGGAUCACUUGGACUCGGGAGGCAGAGUUACAGUGAGCCGAGAUCCUGCCACCGCACUCCAGCCUGGGCGACAGAGAAAGACCCCAUCUCAAAACAACAGCAACAACAACAAAACCGGGCUGGGCGUGCCUUCCCAUCGGACACCCGACCUCGCAAGACUGUCAUUAAAAGUCUCACUCUCGCUGUUCUCCGGGUUGUGAGUCCAUUCUCUGGGUGUGGACAGGUGAGUUUGUUUCUCACAAGGUCCAGGACUUGAACUCAGGCCAUGAGACCGGGCCAGGGUUGUGAGCAAAAGUGCAGCUCAUUGCGGUGCCUCCCUCGGCACCAGUGGGAGGGGAGAGGACCCUGGGGCUCGUCAGCCUGGACACGCCAGCGCUCUCAGCCGUCUCACUCAGUCCCACGAGCCCACACAGUGGCUGCCCUCAAAGGGACUUUGGAGACCACCCAGUCUUUCUUCCCAGUUUACAGACCCAGAGACUCGGGCCCAGAGAAGACAAGUGACUUUGAACAAAGCAAAUUAGUGGCAAUGCCCAGACUUGAACCGAGAUUGGCAGAGCUCGGUGGUCUGCCACAAACCACCCUCCCCCACAGCAGGUGCGGGUGGGGGGCUCCGUUCUUCCGGUCACCACAGCAUGUUACAGGUUUCUGCAUCAGUGCGCCUCCUCUUAGGAAGAAACAUCUCUGGGCUGGGAUGGCUAGCUCCCCGCUUUCAGCCAUGUAGAAUUUCUCUUGGCAUUUUAGUUAGAAGUGUUGUCUAGAUUUCUUAAGUGUCUGAGGCUGCCCUGGCCACAGGGAUGAGUUAGGGAAAAUUACCGUUUCCCAUGUGCGUGUGUGAAGCUCUCCAUGCUCACUAAAGUCAGAGUGAGAAGCAGCAAACACGUCAUCAGGAGGGUGGCCAGCACGGCUGUGUCCUUUUCACACGUCCUCAGAUCAUCCCUGAAUCCACCCAUAUUCUAAAUUCAUUCUCAAAAAUGAGAUUCCAAAUUUCAGGAUCUAUUUACAGCCAGACGAUUUUGGUGCCCCCUGCUCAAAAGCUUUGAUUACUCCUAUGCUUAAUUAAGUCACAAAUCCCUGGCCCAUCAUCCAAGACCACUUGUGAUGUGGUUAAACCUACCUCUGUGAGUGCUAGUAAAUCUACCUCUGCUAGCGCUAGUAAAUUUACCGCUACCAGUACUGCCCCCCACUGUUUCCUUUUCAGGCAUUCAGCUCAGUCUACGACCCGCAGACAGAUUUCCUAGAAAUAACUGCUCCUACUUCUCAACUCUUAACAAAAAGGUCUCUGAAAAGGAAUUUGGAGGAAACAGACUAUUCCAGUGAACAGUGUACAAGCCUGGGAGAUGCGGACUUUGGUGUAAAAUGAAGCAGGGCAGAGGCAGAAACUGCUGGAUGCUGAGAGGAACGCAUCAGUGGAAGAAAACAAGCGGCUGGACGUGGAGAGGACGUCAAGGGAGCACGCCGGCGGAAGAGCACACCCACAGAGGCCGGCAGGCCACCCAGCGGCAGGACCAGGCGGAGUUUGGCCGGGGCAGUCGGAGGAGAGCUAGGCCACUGAGCAGCUCAACUCCAGGAGGAAACCAUCUCCCUUGUGGCUCCUCCGUCGGCUGAGAGCUGCUUCCACUCAAUAACACUUUGCACUCGUUCUCCAAGCCCCCGUGUGAUCCGAUUCUUCUGGUACACCCAGGCAAGAACCCAGGAUACAGAAAGGCCUCGGUCCUUUCCACAAGUACCUCUACUUGAGGUACUCAUUGACCUGGUUAACACAAGCUGCCUACAGACGGCAAAACUAAGGGCACCCUGGAACACAGGCUUCAGCUGUAAACAUUCACCCCUGGGCACUGCCGUGGGGUGGGAGCCUGCCUGACUGUAUGCUCCCCUAGAGGUUUGAGCUGCGGGGCACUGAAGAAGUGAGCCACACUCCCAUCGCACACUCUGCGAGGGGGACAAAGGAACUUUUCCUCUUUUAACUGGGGCCUCAUCUGGGAUCUCGGAAGGUGAAUGUCUGCCUUCGAAAACCCUACCACCUGUCUUUCUUGUGGCCCGUGCCAGCUCGCUGGGAGGAGGACGAGGACACCUGUGAUCACAUGCUCUGGUCUGGAGGCACGGCCGCGGGCCCCGGGUCAGCGUGAAUCCGCGGGGUUACUCCUCAGUCGGAUCUGAGCUCUGAAACCCAGACUCGAGGAAGACAAGCGGCCACGUCGGAUGUACCAGUGGUGGAAGAUCCUGUCCGGCUGCACCGAGGCUCACAUCAGAAGCCGGCUUCGGUUUCACCACAAAACAAGGCGUCUAGUGCCCGAUUCUGCCUCCAACGCAGCCCUGGGUCACACUCGCUGUAGGACAGAUGUUAUUCUUCAGAAUCACACCCUCUGGCAAAUGCCCGUCAUCGGACAAAUGGACGGAUGAAGUGUGACUCAGCCAUGAGAAGGGGGAUGCUCUGAGCCGCGCGGCCAUGCCACCAACCCGGAGGACACGGUGCUGCGAGAAAAAGCCAGAGUCUUCUCUGCACGUCCACGGGCACGCACAGCUGAGCGGCACACAGCGGCCGGGCUUGCUCCUCCGCACUGGGGACACGAGAUUUCACUGCACCUCACCCAGCCCUUUCCACAGAGCAGUUCAUCUUGGAGACUCUUCCCCUUGAAGGGUCUAAAGGUUUAUUCACAGACUUCGGAAUUCCACCCCAGAGGACGCCCCACCCUGGUCAGGAUGGUUGUGGAUUCUCAGUGCCCGGUGUCCAAAAUGUGCCCACGCAACCUCCUGUGGCUCCACAGAGCGUGUCGGUCUGGAACCAUCACUUUCUCGUACAUACAGACCCACCCUCCGUGUUCCCUGGAUCUCACAUCUGUCUCAACACGCCAGUCUCCGUGUCCUGGUGUUUGUUGUCGGGGAAGAUGCAACAUCGGGGGAAGGGAGUAAUCAUGUCUGGUGGCAGCUGGCACUGGCAGGCAGCGGGCACUCGAAGCCUGCACCUGUCCCUCUGGGGCCUUGGCUAUCCCUCUGGGGCCUUGGCUAUCCCUCCGCACGACGGGCAUGAAGCCCCCUCCUGCCUCCACUGCUCGGAUGAAAGGAGGUGAUGGGUGUGAAGGGGCAGAACUCUGCACACAGCGCCCGGCUCUGGGAACCAAACCUGUGGCUCAGGGCGGCACUGACUUCCCCAGGCCAGGAAGGUCCCCAGGCCAUUCUUUCCACAGGAAGGUCCCCAGGCCAGUCUUUCCACGGGCAGGUCCCCAGGCCAGUCUUUCCACGGGAAGGGUGGUGAGGAUGAGCCUAACGGGGAUUCCGACAUGGUGGGCCUCCCAGAGAUCAGCCCACCCUCCCACUGGCCUGUGGAGGCGCAUACCUGCAGGUGAGAAUGUCCUGGAACUUGACAAAGGCCUGCGCGGUCACGUUCAGCUCGUAGAUGACAGAGUUGAUGACAUAGGAAUCAUUCUGGACUUGCAUCUCCACAUCGUAGCUGUGACUGUUUGCCACAGCGAGGAAGAUCCUCUCCCCGAUCUGGAAGACCUCCCAGUCUGCAGCACCGAACGUCUAGGACCAAAGGAGAGCAGGUGCAGAGGCCCCAGUGCUGUGCGUCCUACGAGCACCACCUGCUGUCUCACCUCUUCUAGGAAGCCCACCCUGAUCCCUCUAGUCCCAGCCUCAGACACUGAAGCAACAUCAGGGGGCGCCGUUGCCCGCCCGAGCCCGAAGAGCCUGGGGGCAGGGGAGGGCGCCACAGGUGAGGACACAGCUCCGUGGGCACCAGGCAAGGUCCCAAAGCAGAUCCGCAGCCGGUCAGAGGAGCGCACAUGGGUGGAUGUCACCCACCCCUUGGGACUUCGCCACGGGUCGCUAGCCCAGACCCUCCCCUUGGUUCCGGUGGUUCCAUUUCUGCCCCUUUGCUGCUGGCCCCCUUCUGAGGAUGCCCGUGCAUCUCCAGGACUACUGCUCCAGUCCUUGGUGUAGAUCAAAGCUGGCCUUCACAUGCGGCCUGAAAAUGUAGAGUGGCCGCCUUCUGGGCUGGGCUGCCACCCCACCACAUCACCCGUGACAGAAGCCCCGUGUUUUUCAGUAACCACGUUCCACGAACACCUCCCGACUGCCUUCCAGCACACACAAAGAUCAACGAAGCUCAGAAUCCAGUCCCGAUGUCAUUUCAUGAAGAGCAGGUAGUCCAUCAAAGGGAUGGGCCCCAUGAGUGAAGGGCUGAGACCCCACCAUGGUGUGAGGCGUCCCAGGCACUCCCGUCACGGCCCAAACCAGGCUGCAGGCUCCAUCCCCAUGGGGCAGGCACAGAGGAGGCGAUUCAUAUGGACAGGAGGUGAUUCAUGUGGACACAGAGACACCUGUGGACGCCCUGGCUCGGCCGCUUACUGCCGUGUGUUUGUGGCCAGGUCCCUGCUCCUGAGCCUCAGUUUCCACACCUGUGAGAUGGGUCUGAGGUGGAAUCGCCAACCAGCUGAGGAUGCGCAGCCACAGACCACCUUCCAGAAAUCUCCAAAAGGCUUUCCAAAACAGGAAAACAAGGAAGGCUGCCAUCAGCAGGAAUUCCAGGGCUUUCAGAAUGAGGCUGUCAGGAGUGAAGGGAGCUGUGCUCCACAUGCAGGGCAGUGGCCAGGGCUGCCAGGUCUUGUUUAUCUGGGAGCGCCAGGCUGCCUGCCUGCACCUGGUCUGGGCACCCGAAGGCAGAGCUGCUCCUGCUUAGGGUCUGUGGCAACUGUCCUCCUCCGUGGGUGCUGCUGGGAGCUCCUCUGAUUCCUGGUGGGCGGCUUCUGGCCUCGCCUCUUCACCCACGGUGUAGGGUGUGGGAUGGAGAUGCAGGGCCUCUGCUCUCCUUCUCCUCUCCCCCAAGCAGCCUGGGUUGUACCUCCACUAAUAAACACCAACACCCGCGCCCAGGGUGGGUUCGGCCACGGGGCGAUUCUCUGAGUGACACAUCAGGAUCAGCUUCGUGUGGUCCUGACCUUACGGUAAUGUCAGCCCCCAGAGCCAGGGGCCGGGCUAUGGCACCACCCACCCAGGCGAUUUCUAUGUCGGGAUGACCGACUGUGCCAUCCCUGGGGCAGUCCCCCAUGCCAGGCAAACAUUCUCCUUUCAUGCUUAAAAUCACAGGACGGGCUCGCUCACCCGCUUCGUCCUUGGACCUGUGAUCUAUGUACGCUGCUUUUCAACAAGUUUCUGGUUGUCCCCUCCUGGGUCUGGCCCUCCCCUCCUUCCUUCCUAGAGGAAGAAAACACACCAGCUCUGCAUGCAAGAACGCUCCCAGCUCUCCCAUCUUCCCAUCCCAGGAGCCCCUCGCUCCUGCACCCUGGGGCUUUCGGUCCUGUCCCACCUCAGCGGCUGCUGCACAGGAAGGCCGUCCUGGCCUGGCCCCUGUGUCUCUGCCUUCCUCGACUCCUGCAGUCUGUGCUUCUGUCACUCCUUCAGCACGCCAUCCCUGGACACACUUUGUGCUCUGUGGACUCCACAGCCCCCAAACCCCCCCUUAUGCCCUCCCUGACCCCAGACCAUCUGGGCUGGCUUCUCUCUAGGACACAUACCAGUUCUCAUUCCAGAACUUUCCUUAUGGUCAUCUUUGGGUGGAGCUACCACUUCCAGUUCUGAUCUUCUGCAUCUGGUUGAGGACCUGGGCUUGCCAGUGCACCCCCCAAGAACACCGCCUAGUCCAGGGCUCCCACAUGUCUCAGACUGACAGGAGACUGGGUCAUAUGACCGGCACUAGCCAAUGAGCUGUGAGGACAUGUGAGCACAGGUCCAGCUAGGCUGGGUCAUAUGACAAGCAUUAGCCAAUGAGCUGUGAGGACACGUGAGUACAGGUCCAGCUAGGCUGGGACAUGUGACUGGCACUGGCCAAUGGGUUGUGAGCACAGGUCAGGUCAGCCCCUUCCUGCUGCUUCCCACUGUGUGUGCUCCUUGUCUGACUUGAUAUGAGAACUAACCCAAUAUGGCAGGAAGCCACUAACAUGUGGGAGCCGUGCAUGGCAGUGGCCAGCGUCCUUGCCCUGCGGGGGCGCUGCGGACAUCACUCGCCUUCAGAACACUGAGCCCUCCUACCUCCUGAUAUCCAGGGCUGCCGAUGGGAAAUCCCAGGCUGCCGCGGCUCCUGUGUGCUUUGAAGCCUGACUCCUGCAGUUUUCAGGAUUUUUGUCAAACAUCGGGGACGCUUAGCUGGAGAGGAUGGCAUGGGUGACACGCAGCUGGCCAGGGUGCGCGACUCUGCUCUCAAGACCCCCUGGAGACCCGCCCCCUGCCCCCCACCAGCUCAUUCGUUAGAUGAUUGGAAGUGACUGCCUACGUCUUCUUUCAGGAUAAAGCCUCAAGUCCUGCAACUA
Pan troglodytes (chimpanzee) is the source of this 7597-nucleotide long non-coding RNA. RefSeq lists it as uncharacterized. Lineage: Eukaryota; Metazoa; Chordata; Mammalia; Primates; Hominidae. The transcript has 10 exons. The record is from RefSeq and is a predicted model, not a curated record.